Molecule: ribosomal RNA, 489 nt
Filed under: uncultured bacterium
Lineage: Bacteria
Description: bacterial SSU rRNA
Rfam family: Bacterial small subunit ribosomal RNA
Source: RNAcentral
AUUGAACGCUGGCGGCAUGCCUUACACAUGCAAGUCGAACGGCAGCGCGGGAGCAAUCCUGGCGGCGAGUGGCGGACGGGUGAGGAAUACAUCGGAAUCUGCCCUGUCGUGGGGGAUAACGUAGGGAAACUUACGCUAAUACCGCAUACGACCUUCGGUGAAGAGGGGAGUCGCAAGACCUCUCGCGAUUGGAUGAGCCGAUGUCGGAUUAGCUAGUUGGCGGGGUAAAGGGCCCACCAAGGCGACGAUCCGUAGCUGGUCUGAGAGGAUGAUCAGCCACACUGGAACUGAGACACGGUCCAGACUCCUACGGGAGGCAGCAGUGGGGAAUAUUGGACAAUGGGCGCAAGCCUGAUCCAGCCAUGCCGCGUGAGUGAAGAAGGCCUUCGGUUGUAAAGCUCUUUGUCCGGAAAGAAAGACAUUCGGUUAUAACCGGGUGUCAUGACGGUACCGGAAGAAUAAGCACCGGCUAACUUCGUGCCAGCAGCC